UACGUAGGGUGCAAGCGUUGAUCGGAAUUACUGGGCGUAAAGCGUGCGCAGGCGGUUGUGCAAGACAGAUGUGAAAUCCCCGGGCUCAACCUGGGAAUUGCAUUUGUGACUGCACGGCUAGAGUGUGUCAGAGGGGGGUAGAAUUCCACGUGUAGCAGUGAAAUGCGUAGAGAUGUGGAGGAAUACCGAUGGCGAAGGCAGCCCCCUGGGAUAACACUGACGCUCAUGCACGAAAGCGUGGGGAGCAAACAGG
This 253-nucleotide ribosomal RNA is filed under the name uncultured bacterium. RNAcentral's name for it is "partial 16S ribosomal RNA". It matches the Rfam family "Bacterial small subunit ribosomal RNA", at positions 524 to 776 of the family's 1533-position model. The record is from RNAcentral.